AGCUAGAUAGAUUUAGUGACUUAUGAUUUUUAGGGAAAAACAAAUAAAAAUAAUAGAAAGGGAAUUUUUUAUUGAAAUAUGAAAAGAACAAAAAGGCUAAAUUUAUGGGGGAGAAAGUGUUACAGCAAAAUAUGGAUGGAAUUUGUGUCACUUCAUCCCCUAUUUAUAGUACUAAGAAACCUAGCCUAUUCUUAAUUAAAUUCUAAAAGAUAAAUACAAAUAAAUAAAGAUAAUUAAAGUUAAUUAAAGGUAAAUGAAAAUAAAUCCUAAAAUUAAAUCAAAAUAAUAAUCCUUAAUAAUUAUCCUAAUAUAAUUAAACAUUAAAUAGAGUCUCGUGCUGUAAAAUCUCUUAUUUUGCACUUUUGCCCUUUAUGUCUUUCAUACUUGCAUUUUUGGCACCACCUUUUUCCCUAUGUCGCAUGUUGGCCCAUUGUAUCUUCAAAUUUGCACUUUUUGCCCUUAAAAUUUCUUUUGCCUCCAAUUUAGUCCGUGAAAGAUAAAAGACCAUAAAUAUCUCAAAUUAGUAAGGUCAUACACAAAAUAAACAUGCAAUUAGCACAAAAAAUAUGUCGUUCUAGAGUAUUAUCAGAUGGCUACUUAUACAGAAGAGGAAAUUGUUGAAACGUUGAAAGGAAUGGGGCCUACAAAAGCUUUAGGUCCAGAUAGUUUUCCGACAGUAUUUUACCAAUAGUAUUGACAUAUUAUUGGUAAAAAUACUAGAGUUUUCUAUUUGGAUAUUUUGAAUAAUGGCAAAUCUUUAAAAGAAAUAAACAGAACUCAGUUGGUUUUAAUUCCAAAAAUUGAAAAUCCUCUCAAUUUGAAAAAUUUUCGUCCUAUUAGCCUCUGUACGGUUAUCUAUAAGAUUAUUUCCAAGUCAGUUUCUAACCGUUUACAAAAGGUACUAGAUAUCUAUAUUAAUGACUUUCAAAGUGCUUUUGUGCUGGUAGGCUUAUAACUGACAAUGUGUUGUUGGCGUAUGAGGUACUUCACUCUUUCAAGAACAAAAGAUCAGGGAAAAAAUUAUUUAUGGCUCUAAAGCUGGGUAUGAGCAAGGCUUAAGAUCAAGUGGACUAGCAUUUUCUUAAAAGUAUGAUGUCAAAAUUGGGCUUUGUCGAUCCAUUUAUUUAUUUUAUAUUUCACUGUAUUAUUCGGUCCAUUAUUCAAUUUUACUUAAUUGUGAAGAAGGUUUUAGUUUCAAUCCAUUAAGAGGGCUACGUCAAGGGGAUCCUUUAAGCCCUUACUUAUUUCUGUUCUGUGGAGAAGGGGAUCCUUUAAGCCCUUACUUAUUUCUGUUCUGUGGAGAGGGUUUAUCUGCACUGAUGAGACUUGCAAGCCAGGAAAGGAAAAUUUUAGGAGCAAAGGUAUGUAAAUCUUCCCCACCAAUAACCCACUUCAUGUUUGUAGAUGAUUGUAUACUGUUUGUAAAGGUUUCAGAUAGGGAGAUUAAUGUGAUUAGAGAUAUUCUAAGAGAAUAUGAAUUUUGCUCGGGCCAAUGUGUAAACUUUGAAAAAUCCACGAUUUUUUUUUUCAAUUUGAAUGUGGAUGAUUAGGAUAAGAACUUGGCUUUCCAAGUACUUAAUGUUCGCUGUUUGAUUGAUCUAGAGAAAUAUUUGGGGUUACCGAAUAAGGUGGGUCAAAGAAGGAAAAUGGCUUUCCAAGCCUUGAAGGACAGAUUGAAGCAGAAGAUUAAUAGCUGGAAUAUAAGAUAUAUCUCAUAAUGUGGCAAAGAGGUAUUUAUUAAAGCCGUUUUACAAGCAAUUCCUACAUACACGAUGUCUUAUUUUCUUUUGCCAAAAACUUUUUGUGUGGAGACAGAAUAUAAUAGGGCCCUUUUGGUGGAAAAAAAUCAAGGGAAGAGAGGAAUGCAUUGGUGUGACUAGAAGUCGUUAUGUGCGCUUAAGAAAGAGAGUGGUAUGGGGUUUCGUAAUUUGAAUUUUUUUAAUAUUGCAUUACUGGCCAAAAAGGGUUGGCAUUUGUUACAUAAUCCUAAUUCAUUACUAGCGCGUACUUUGAAGGCCAAGUAUUUUAAGGAUUUAGAUUUUUUAAACUCCAGGUUAGAAAAUUUACCUUCUCUUACCUGGCAGAGUUUAUGGACUGCAAAAGGGCUCCUUCUGAAAGGUUUGGGUUAGAGAAUUGGCAAUGGGAAGAAUGUCUCUAUCUGGGGGGAUGCAUGGGUUCCUAGAGGUUAUGAUUUCAGAGUUCAUAACUUGAAUACUAAUUGGAGUAUAUCAACAGUUGCAGAUUUAAUUGAUGGCAAUACAGGAGAAUAAAAAACCGAACUGAUCUAUAAUACCUUUUUGGAGAAGGAUGCAGAGAGGAUCUUAUGUAUUCCUUUGUUUAUGAAUCUACAUGAGGACCAUUUAAUCUGGCGCGGUAAGCCGACGGGGGAGUAUACGAUUUGUAGCGGGCACAAAUUUCUUUUACGUGAUAGACAGAAUCAAAUACAAUCUAACUACAGACAAUUUUACAAAAGAUUGUGGAGCUUAGAUUUACCCUCAAAAAUUAAAGUUACAAACUGGAGGUUAUCUUGUAACAGUUUGCCUACUUUCUGUAAUAUGCAUUUUAGAAGACUGCUGGGAUCCGCAACUUGUCGAAGGUGUCAGAAUGGAGCGGAAACGAGAGAGCAUUUGUUCAGGGAGGCAAAGGAGACAUGGGAGAAGUUAGUUGUUACCUGGCCUAUUACAGAGGAAAAUACAUAUUUCAAAGGAUGGUUUAAAAAUAUUUUUUAGUCAAACUCUCUGGUUAAGUGCAGGAUGAUAACAUGUGCUUUGUGGGCAAUUUGGACAUCAAGAAACAGAUUCAUUCAUAAAGGAGAAAUAAAAUCGAGUUCUCAAAUUAUAGAUUUGGCGAGUAACUACCUAAAAGAAUUGGAUGGGUUGAAUACAAACUUACCUGCGAGAUAGUUUCAUAUGGGUAGAUGGGUCGCUCCGAAUGGUUUGAGGUUAAAAAUCAAUUUUCAUGCGGCGUUCAACAAGCAAAAAAAUGAGUCAUGCUCUGGGUUAGUGGUACGAAACGAAAAAGCAGAAGUGAUUUGUACAAAAACAGUUAUGCAUGUGAAUAACCAUCUGUUUUUGUAGCAGAAGCGAUGGCGUGUUUUUAGGAGCUCAAUCUUGAGUUAUAUCGCGGGCUGAGGGAGGUUGAGAUUGAAGGUGACUCCCGUUCAGUGAUCCAGAAACUGCAAGAGGAGAAAGAAGAUAGAUUAGAAAUUGAAGUUUUUAUAAAAGAUUCAAAGCAACUGAAUUUAGGUUUUCAGUUAUGCGUUUUUAGGUUUAUUCAUAAAGAAUCUUACAAGGUUGCUCAUCUCAUAGCUAAAGAGAGACUCCAAAAGAGAGAGAUUCUAAAAGAGAGAGACAACUUAUUUGUUGAAUAUCGUUACUUCUGGUGUGGAGGAAGCGGUGGUCGCUGAUCGAAGUUGGACGGUUUCCAUGAGGGAAUGAACCGUCUGGAUUGCUGAAGGAAAGUUUUGGAAAGGGGUUUGAAGAGUUAGGGGGUGUGGUGUUUUUCAAAGAUAUUUUCUGUGGGAAGUGAUAGCUGCUGUUGAAAAUUAAUGAAGAGUAAUGAUGAAGUCUAUGCGGCUUCCUAGGUGCUUUGUUGCUUUUGAGGAAAGGGGUUUUAAUAGAUAACAGCUAGUUGACGAUGGCUCUAGAGCGUCCACUUCUGCAAGUUGGAUCAUUGUGUUUGGGUUGUUUUAAUUUUGUUUUUGUUUUCUUUCUUUUUGGUUUUUGGGCCUGUUUCUAGGUUGAUUAACUGCUAAUGUUUGC
This 3761-nucleotide long non-coding RNA is filed under the name Gossypium barbadense (sea-island cotton). Its description in RNAcentral is "long non-coding RNA (GBAR_LNC001213)". The record is from RNAcentral. Lineage: Eukaryota; Viridiplantae; Streptophyta; Magnoliopsida; Malvales; Malvaceae.